RNAcentral lists this ribosomal RNA (1614 nucleotides) under Salmonella enterica subsp. enterica serovar Heidelberg. RNAcentral describes it as "bacterial LSU rRNA". It matches the Rfam family "Bacterial large subunit ribosomal RNA", at positions 1271 to 2863 of the family's 2925-position model. The record is from RNAcentral. Lineage: Bacteria; Pseudomonadati; Pseudomonadota; Gammaproteobacteria; Enterobacterales; Enterobacteriaceae.
UGCUGGAGGUAUCAGAAGUGCGAAUGCUGACAUAAGUAACGAUAAAGCGGGUGAAAAGCCCGCUCGCCGGAAGACCAAGGGUUCCUGUCCAACGUUAAUCGGGGCAGGGUGAGUCGACCCCUAAGGCGAGGCCGAAAGGCGUAGUCGAUGGGAAACGGGUUAAUAUUCCCGUACUUGGUGUUACUGCGAAGGGGGGACGGAGAAGGCUAUGUUGGCCGGGCGACGGUUGUCCCGGUUUAAGCGUGUAGGUGUGUGUUCCAGGUAAAUCCGGUUCACUUUAACACUGAGGCGUGAUGACGAGGCACUACGGUGCUGAAGCAACAAAUGCCCUGCUUCCAGGAAAAGCCUCUAAGCAUCAGGUAACAUCAAAUCGUACCCCAAACCGACACAGGUGGUCAGGUAGAGAAUACCAAGGCGCUUGAGAGAACUCGGGUGAAGGAACUAGGCAAAAUGGUGCCGUAACUUCGGGAGAAGGCACGCUGACACGUAGGUGAAGUGAUUUACUCACGGAGCUGAAGUCAGUCGAAGAUACCAGCUGGCUGCAACUGUUUAUUAAAAACACAGCACUGUGCAAACACGAAAGUGGACGUAUACGGUGUGACGCCUGCCCGGUGCCGGAAGGUUAAUUGAUGGGGUCAGCGCAAGCGAAGCUCCUGAUCGAAGCCCCGGUAAACGGCGGCCGUAACUAUAACGGUCCUAAGGUAGCGAAAUUCCUUGUCGGGUAAGUUCCGACCUGCACGAAUGGCGUAAUGAUGGCCAGGCUGUCUCCACCCGAGACUCAGUGAAAUUGAACUCGCUGUGAAGAUGCAGUGUACCCGCGGCAAGACGGAAAGACCCCGUGAACCUUUACUAUAGCUUGACACUGAACAUUGAGCCUUGAUGUGUAGGAUAGGUGGGAGGCUUUGAAGCGUGGACGCCAGUCUGCGUGGAGCCGACCUUGAAAUACCACCCUUUAAUGUUUGAUGUUCUAACGUGGACCCGUUAUCCGGGUUGCGGACAGUGUCUGGUGGGUAGUUUGACUGGGGCGGUCUCCUCCUAAAGAGUAACGGAGGAGCACGAAGGUUGGCUAAUCCUGGUCGGACAUCAGGAGGUUAGUGCAAUGGCAUAAGCCAGCUUGACUGCGAGCGUGACGGCGCGAGCAGGUGCGAAAGCAGGUCAUAGUGAUCCGGUGGUUCUGAAUGGAAGGGCCAUCGCUCAACGGAUAAAAGGUACUCCGGGGAUAACAGGCUGAUACCGCCCAAGAGUUCAUAUCGACGGCGGUGUUUGGCACCUCGAUGUCGGCUCAUCACAUCCUGGGGCUGAAGUAGGUCCCAAGGGUAUGGCUGUUCGCCAUUUAAAGUGGUACGCGAGCUGGGUUUAGAACGUCGUGAGACAGUUCGGUCCCUAUCUGCCGUGGGCGCUGGAGAACUGAGGGGGGCUGCUCCUAGUACGAGAGGACCGGAGUGGACGCAUCACUGGUGUUCGGGUUGUCAUGCCAAUGGCACUGCCCGGUAGCUAAAUGCGGAAGAGAUAAGUGCUGAAAGCAUCUAAGCACGAAACUUGCCCCGAGAUGAGUUCUCCCUGAGACUUAGAGUCUCCUGAAGGAACGUUGAAGACGACGACGUUGAUAGGCCG